AUUGAACGCUGGCGGCAUGCUUUACACAUGCAAGUCGAACGGUAACAGGCCUUCGGGUGCUGACGAGUGGCGAACGGGUGAGUAAUGCAUCGGAACGUACCCAGAGGUGGGGGAUAACGCAGCGAAAGCUGUGCUAAUACCGCAUGUGAUCUGAGGAUGAAAGCGGGGGACCGAGCAGCAAUGUUUGGCCUCGCGCCUUUGGAGCGGCCGAUGUCGGAUUAGCUAGUUGGUGGGGUAAAGGCCUACCAAGGCGACGAUCCGUAGCUGGUCUGAGAGGACGACCAGCCACACUGGGACUGAGACACGGCCCAGACGCCUACGGGAGGCAGCAGUGGGGAAUUUUGGACAAUGGGCGCAAGCCUGAUCCAGCAAUGCCGCGUGCGGGAAGAAGGCCUUCGGGUUGUAAACCGCUUUUGGCAGGAACGAAACGGUGUCCGCUAAUACCGGGCGCUAAUGACGGUACCUGCAGAAUAAGCAACGGCUAACUACGUG
This 492-nucleotide ribosomal RNA is filed under the name uncultured bacterium. RNAcentral's name for it is "partial 16S ribosomal RNA". It matches the Rfam family "Bacterial small subunit ribosomal RNA", at positions 29 to 507 of the family's 1533-position model. The record is from RNAcentral.